UCUGGAGCGUUGACUGCACAUAUAAUUAUGGGUCUUAUAUUUUAUAAAGGAGGGAGCAUGUAUAUUUCUCGAAUAGGCUUGUAUCAUUAAUUACCGAUUCCCAGACAACCUACCGUUUUAUUAUUGGCAUCUGGAUUUAGACUUGGUCCGUCUUCAUCUGCUACAUGCUUAGAUUAUUUUGCUGAGUGACGGAGCAUGAUUAUUUUGCUGAGUAACGGAGCAUGAUUAUUUUGCUGAGUAUCUACUUUCAGUCUUGCUUCAGCUUCAUGAAGGCCGGUUAAACAUACAUUUUUGCAGGGUUAGCUACUUCUUCUCAACAUAGGGAAUGGCCAGGGGAAGAGUUUGAGAUAUGUAAAGGUCUUCUUCUUAUACUAGUUGUGCUUGUGCAACAAUCUGUUGUUCAGGCUAGAAGAACUGAACAAGGUGUCAAUUCCUGCACCAGUAGUGUGACACCCUGUUGAAAGUGUCAGUCAAUUGUUGAAACUUGCCCAUCAAACACAACCUUUACGGCCUUGAUCUGGAGCUUGAGAAGCAGUUUUAUACUUGUAUAGUUAAACUGUCAACUAUGCAAAAAUAUUUGGAGAAUCUACUCCUUAAAAGGGCACUGGUCUAUGGGCAACUCCUGUAGUUAGUCUGAAAACCAAAGGAAGGAAGCAAGUAUUUUUCCUUGUCGAGUUGCUGUCAUGAAGUAAUCGCGAUGUGAGAGGGCAUUAAUUGAUGGCUGUCUAAUGAUGAAGUUGUGUGUAUGUAGAGGAGGACUGUACUGAAUCAGCUCCCCAACAAGCUACUACUGCAUGCACAUGUCCCUGUACAACUCACAUGGCUGUUAUCUCCUUCUUCUUACUCAUCUGCUUGAUAUAUGCCCUGUUUCUUGAUUGAGUAGCCCGGGCCAUGGCUCUAGUAUAACUUUGUGUUGUGAAUUCAAAUGGUUUACUUGGAUCUAGAAGAAUUUUUACCUCCAUUCACGUCUGAAUCUUUGUUUUCCCUGAAAAUGGAGUUCAGAAGGGUGAGUAAAACAGAGUAGUAGUUGAUUUCCCGGCAGACACUGGGAGGAAAAUUAACAGGGUCUGCACUGCAUUGACUUGAGAAUUAAGUAGAGAGCAAGGGUGGGGCUUUGGGGGAUUUAUUGGCGGCUGGUCCUUGAACGAUUGGCAGGUCAUAUCAUUCUCAUGGUAUCAUGGCUAGCAGCCACCUAGCUAGUGUGGUCACUAGAUCCAAUCCAUCACGACAAAAUGGCUUCAAUUUGAAUUAGGAGCAAGUGAAAAGAUGAAUAUUUGAUUUGCAGACAUUGUAGCGCCUGGAGAUAGCUCUCUGCCUCUGCGUACGUUGGGCUGUCUUGUACUCUUGUGGUUGACAUAUUAUUCAGCGGUGGUACCACAGCAAAGUCCCCAUUAGGAAAGGCUGCUCACUCACUCAGCACUACUCGUACUUGAUCAGGGGGAAAUAACUGUAUGUGGUGGAGACCUGAACCUGAAGAUGAAGAGUAGGUGUGGCGGUAGCUGCAGUGCAGAAACCAAAAGCAGCUAGCGAAGAUCCUAUAUACAGAUGGAGUUGAUGGCUCAUGAUUCCUGAUUUUAUUCCUUGCAUCAGCAGCAGCAGCAGCAAUCAUACAAGCUGUCCUGGUCCUGGUCCUGUUCUUGAAUUCAAGACACGGCAGAGCUCUGCUUGUGCCUACCAAGCAAGGCCAGUACGGAGGAUUAGAUAUGCACAGUGAUUCAGUCUGUCUGUCUGUCAUGGCUAGAUUAUAUUACAAGAGAGAUCAAUUAAGCUACAAAGGCUACACGACCGAAUGCCAUACAUAUGUACUGUCU
This is a long non-coding RNA of Brachypodium distachyon (stiff brome), 1811 nucleotides long. RefSeq lists it as uncharacterized. The record is from RefSeq and is a predicted model, not a curated record. The transcript is spliced from 2 exons. NCBI's taxonomy places the organism in Eukaryota, Viridiplantae, Streptophyta, Magnoliopsida, Poales, Poaceae.